Molecule: unclassified non-coding RNA, 213 nt
Filed under: fungal sp.
Lineage: Eukaryota; Fungi
Also listed under: 1 other name
Description: partial internal transcribed spacer region
Rfam family: Eukaryotic small subunit ribosomal RNA (bases 1-46)
Source: RNAcentral
AAGUCGUAACAAGGUUUCCGUAGGUGAACCUGCGGAAGGAUCAUUACCAAAUCCAAAACUCUUUUUAUAAACCCACUUGUGUGAAGUAACGAAUGAAAAAGAAACUUCUUUUUUUCUGAACCAACAAGGAAUCUUUUUGUUUAAGCAAGAAUUAUAUAAAACUUUUUUGAGAAAAGAGAAAAACAACUUUUAACGGUGGAUCUCUUGGCUCGU